Molecule: RNA transcript, 1626 nt
Organism: Daphnia magna
Lineage: Eukaryota; Metazoa; Arthropoda; Branchiopoda; Diplostraca; Daphniidae
Exons: 6
Source: RefSeq, a predicted model, not a curated record
AAUACUGGGCUCAGCAAUUCAGCAUCAGCAGUCACUAAUCAUAUUCAUCAUCUCGUUCUGUGCUUGUGCCAAUCAAGUAAUUCAGAAGCAGCCCAAACAGGCAUUUUAUUUAUCCAUGGCCUCCAAUCAGAGAAGUAACAAGACAGGGAAUUCCAGUAAGAACCCGUAGGAUUCAUCUUCUAAGUAAGUUGUAAUGCAGUUGUAAUGCCAAAAUGAAGACGGAAAUAUACAGAUUUCAUAUGGCAUUUUUUGUACGUGAGCGAAGAGCGCGAGCGCGCUCACUUUUUUUUUUUGCGAGCGAGAGCUGAGCUACGCUCAUUUUUCAGCACUGAGCGGAAAGUUCUGAGCGCGCUCUCAAAUCAGUGAGCUACUCCCAACUCUGGAUAUAAAUAAACAAUAAGUAAAUACCUAUUUUUCUGUUCUUUGAUUAUGUAAUGGGGUUGUAACUCAGUGGUAGAGUGUUCGCUUUGCAUGCGAAAAGCCCGGAGUUCAAUCCUCCGCAACUCCAGUUUUUGUGGAGGAAUUUGUUUCUUGAAUUCAACUUAUUAGUUAUUACUAUCAAAAUAUCAUAACAUUUAAAGUAUCAAUAGCUAACAUAGGUAAUCAAAGCUAUCUAUUAUAAUUAUAUUUAAAUUUUACUACACAAACACCUUCCGAAUAAACAUUCGUAACAAAAAGUAAGAGAAGCGAUUCAUUAAUCUACUUUGAAAUUGAAUAUAUAGAGGGGUUGUAACUCAGUGGUAGAGUGUUCGCUUUGCAUGCGAAAAGCCCGGAGUUCAAUCCUCCGCAACUCCAGUUCUUUUUUCUUCUCUAUUCCAAUUCCAUAUAUUUUUCGAAAAAUCUAAAUGCCGCAACUGUCGCUCAAUUUAUGUUGUUUACUUGUACAGUUUAUGGUGCUACUUGUCACGCUAUUUUAGAUAUAAUCAUCACGCCACUUUAUUGUUGACAUUUACAUGCUGGGCAGUUUUGUACGAUAACAUCCCACAAUUGAGGGUCAUAAAUAAGGGACAACAAGCAUACACAGAAACUAAUACUACUUUGUCACAUACUCAACAGGUUCCAACCAGCAUUGUAAACUGUAGUCCAUAGACCAUGUUCCGAAAACAGUUUUCCACAUAAUGACGAGCGUUGUCAACAUCUUUCUGGCGAUUAACGUCCAUGUGAAUAAUAUGCAGACAAACCAAUCAAAAAUCCUUUGUUCUUUUUGUCGAAGCAACAAGCAUAGACGUGAAACGUCGUAAAAUGUACCUAAGCUCACCGUAGUGACCAAACUCGCAUUUUGACCAGAUACGCUUUUGCGGAAUUGAUUGUUUUUUACUUGGCAAGGACAUGUUAUCGGUUGAUCGACGCUCCUUAGAAUCGAGCACACUUUUUAUCCUCAGCAAAUAGUUAACCAAUAACAUGAAAUGGACGAACAAUUGAUGGGUCCAAUCAAACAGCAAUGAAUUUACAAAAGGAUGAUUGAAUUAUAGUUGACGACGAAUGGCAAGCCCUACAAGAUCGGUUUCGGAAUUCAGCACUGAAGGAACCUGUAAAAAGCAAUGGAAUGAAAAUUCGUGAUUUUAAACAAUUUGAAAAAUUCAGUGUUUAAUUGAGAACACAAUAAAAAUUUUCAUAAAUUGGCAA